UACGUAGGCAGCAAGCGUUGUUCGGAGUUACUGGGCGUAAAGGGUGCGUAGGCGGUCCUAUAAGUAUGGUGUGAAAUCUCCCGGCUUAACUGGGAGGGUGUGCUAUAGACUGUGGGACUAGAGUGUGGGAGAGGAAAGUGGAAUUCCUGGUGUAGCGGUGAAAUGCGUAGAUAUCAGGAGGAACACCGGUGGUGUAAACGGCUUUCUGGACCAUAACUGACGCUGAGGCACGAAAGCGUGGGUAGCAAACAGG
This 253-nucleotide ribosomal RNA is filed under the name uncultured bacterium. RNAcentral describes it as "partial 16S ribosomal RNA". It matches the Rfam family "Bacterial small subunit ribosomal RNA", at positions 524 to 776 of the family's 1533-position model. The record is from RNAcentral.